Zea mays is the source of this 1009-nucleotide long non-coding RNA. RefSeq lists it as uncharacterized. The transcript is spliced from 5 exons. NCBI's taxonomy places the organism in Eukaryota, Viridiplantae, Streptophyta, Magnoliopsida, Poales, Poaceae. The record is from RefSeq and is a predicted model, not a curated record.
GCCGCCUGAAUCCUUCUUUCUCUGUUUCUUCCUUUUUCUCUGUCUCACGCGACCGACCGCCGCCCGCAGCAACCGCGCCGCCGCUCCCUGGGCCGCCCAGCUCCCGCGCCGCCAGCCGCGCGGAGCACCCACGCCGCUGCUCCCCGGCCACCCCUGCGCCGCCCAGCGCCCCAGCGUCGCCCGCCCGCCCUCGCCCAGCGCCGGCCGCCCGUGCCGCCACGAGCCGCCACCGUCGUCCGCCGCCGUUCUAAGCUUCCGUCGACCAGCCGUGGCCAAGCCCUCCUCGUGCAACCACUCCGCCGUCGUCGCCAAGCUCUUCCCCAUCGAAAGAUAUUCUAUGUUUACCGGUGUGAUCGAUUCGACAGAAUUGCGUUCUCGUGGCGGCUCUUCGUCGCAGGCGGGUUGUGGUAGUAGCAGCCAUAGUCGGAGCUAUGUACUAGCAUGGAGGACGCUAUGAGGGAGCAGCAAGAAAGGUUUCGUGAAGAGCUGCGGCAACAACAAAUAACAUUUCUCCAACAGCAAUUAGAGUACAUGGCUGCUUACAACGCACAGGCGCAACAAGCAAUGAACGCACAACAGCAAUCAUUUGUUUUCCCUCAAUUUUAGUCGUCGAUGCCACAGUGGGGAUUACAUGCUCCGCCACCUCCACCUCAGGGAUCCGGGGUCAUGGGCCACAACACGCCACCACCGGUGAUACCAUCACCAGGAGGAGCUUAUGCAGGGGAGGGAGCUACUACAGGAGAGAAUCCAAACCCGUUACACGACUUCGUCAACGAGUUUUUUGCUUAUGGAGGUAGUGGUCACAACUUCAACAACCCCGAUAUGUGAUGGUUUGAGUUUUUCGCUUCUGGAGGGAGUUAUUAUGUUGUAAUGAACUAUUUGUGAACUGUGAUGUUGUAUUUGUGAACUUUGAUGUGGUGAACCAUUUGUGAACUUAAUGUUGGUAAACUACAAUGUGGUUGUGAAGAAGUGUGAUACAAUAUGGUCUAAUGUUUAUGUCAUUUUAUUG